RNAcentral lists this transfer RNA (57 nucleotides) under Bos taurus (domestic cattle). It matches the Rfam family "tRNA", at positions 8 to 63 of the family's 71-position model. From Rfam's summary of the family: Transfer RNA (tRNA) molecules are approximately 80 nucleotides in length. RNAcentral also lists the same sequence under 4 other names. Lineage: Eukaryota; Metazoa; Chordata; Mammalia; Artiodactyla; Bovidae. The record is from Rfam by way of RNAcentral.
UAGCUCAGUAGCUAAAGCAUCUGCCUGCAAUGUAGGAGACCUGGGUUCGAUUCCUGG